This 491-nucleotide ribosomal RNA is filed under the name uncultured bacterium. RNAcentral describes it as "partial 16S ribosomal RNA". It matches the Rfam family "Bacterial small subunit ribosomal RNA", at positions 29 to 506 of the family's 1533-position model. The record is from RNAcentral.
AGUGAACGCUGGCGGUAGGCCUAACACAUGCAAGUCGAACGGCAGCACAGUAAGAGCUUGCUCUUACGGGUGGCGAGUGGCGGACGGGUGAGGAAUACAUCGGAAUCUACUUUUUCGUGGGGGAUAACGUAGGGAAACUUACGCUAAUACCGCAUACGACCUACGGGUGAAAGCAGGGGAUCUUCGGACCUUGCGCGAUUGAAUGAGCCGAUGUCGGAUUAGCUAGUUGGCGGGGUAAAGGCCCACCAAGGCGACGAUCCGUAGCUGGUCUGAGAGGAUGAUCGGCCAAACUGGAACUGAGACACGGUCCAGACUCCUACGGGAGGCAGCAGUGGGGAAUAUUGGACAAGGGGCGCAAGCCUGAUCCAGCCAUACCGCGUGGGUGAAGAAGGCCUUCGGGUUGUAAAGCCCUUUUGUUGGGAAAGAAAAGCAGCAGGUUAAUACCCCGCUGUUCUGACGGUACCCAAAGAAUAAGCACCGGCUAACUUCGU